RNAcentral lists this ribosomal RNA (498 nucleotides) under uncultured bacterium. RNAcentral's name for it is "bacterial SSU rRNA". It matches the Rfam family "Bacterial small subunit ribosomal RNA", at positions 899 to 1397 of the family's 1533-position model. The record is from RNAcentral.
ACUCAAAUGAAUUGACGGGGGCCCGCACAAGCAGUGGAGUAUGUGGUUUAAUUCGAAGCAACGCGAAGAACCUUACCAGGGCUUGACAUAUACAGAAAAGCUAGAGAAAUCUAGUGUCUUUUCGGAGGCUGUAUACAGGUGGUGCAUGGUUGUCGUCAGCUCGUGUCGUGAGAUGUUGGGUUAAGUCCCGCAACGAGCGCAACCCCUAUUGUUAGUUGCCAGCAUGUAAAGAUGGGAACUCUAGCAAGACUGCCGGUGAGAAAUCGGAGGAAGGUGGGGACGACGUCAAAUCAUCAUGCCCUAUAUGUCCUGGGCUACACACGUACUACAAUGGGUGUAACAGAAAGCAGCGAGAUAGUGAUAUUAAGCGAAACUUUAAAAAGCACCCUCAGUUCGGAUUGAAGGCUGAAAUUCGCCUUCAUGAAGUAGGAAUUGCUAGUAAUGGCAGGUCAGCAUACUGCCGUGAAUACGUUCCCGGGCCUUGUACACACCGCCCGU